Long non-coding RNA from Maniola jurtina (meadow brown), 103 nucleotides. RefSeq lists it as uncharacterized. NCBI's taxonomy places the organism in Eukaryota, Metazoa, Arthropoda, Insecta, Lepidoptera, Nymphalidae. The transcript has 3 exons. The record is from RefSeq and is a predicted model, not a curated record.
UCCGUUCAGUAAGGACUGUACCCUCAGUACAAGAUUUAACUUCUCACCAAUUUUGAUAGUAUUCGACAGUUGAAACAAAAUAACGUCCAAGUAAAAUGAACCU